AUUGAACGCUGGCGGCAUGCCUUACACAUGCAAGUCGAACGGCAGCACGGGUGCUUGCACCUGGUGGCGAGUGGCGAACGGGUGAGUAAUACACCGGAACAUGUCCUGUAGUGGGGGAUAGCCCGGCGAAAGCCGGAUUAAUACCGCAUACGAUCCACGGAUGAAAGCGGGGGACCUUCGGGCCUCGCGCUAUAGGGUUGGCCGAUGGCUGAUUAGCUAGUUGGUGGGGUAAAGGCCUACCAAGGCGACGAUCAGUAGCUGGUCUGAGAGGACGACCAGCCACACUGGGACUGAGACACGGCCCAGACUCCUACGGGAGGCAGCAGUGGGGAAUUUUGGACAAUGGGCGAAAGCCUGAUCCAGCAAUGCCGCGUGUGUGAAGAAGGCCUUCGGGUUGUAAAGCACUUUUGUCCGGAAAGAAAUCCUUGGCUCUAAUACAGUCGGGGGAUGACGGUACCGGAAGAAUAAGCACCGGCUAACUACGUG
This 486-nucleotide ribosomal RNA is filed under the name uncultured bacterium. RNAcentral's name for it is "partial 16S ribosomal RNA". It matches the Rfam family "Bacterial small subunit ribosomal RNA", at positions 30 to 507 of the family's 1533-position model. The record is from RNAcentral.